Molecule: ribosomal RNA, 478 nt
Filed under: uncultured bacterium
Lineage: Bacteria
Description: SSU rRNA
Rfam family: Bacterial small subunit ribosomal RNA
Source: RNAcentral
AGGAUGAACGCUGGCGGCGUGCCUAACACAUGCAAGUCGAACGUCCUGUCUCGCAAGAGGCAGGGAGUGGCGGACGGGUGAGUACCACGUGGGUCAUCUACCGUGAGGUGAGGAAUACCGGCGAGAAAUCGCCGACAAGACCGCAUAGCCUCGGUGCAAGCCGAGGAAAGCUCUCUCGAGAGAGGGAGCGCCACACGAGGAGCCUGCGCCCGAUUAGCUAGCUGGUGGAGUAACGGUUCACCAGGGCGACGAUCGGUAGCUGGUCUGAGAGGACGAUCAGCCACACUGGGAUUGAGAACGGCCCAGACUCCUACGGGGGGCAGCAGUGAGGAAUUUUCGUCAAUGGGGGCAACCCUGAACGAGCAACGCCGCGUGCAGGAAGAAGGUUUUCGGAUCGUAAACUGCUUUUCUCGGGGAAGAGAACGGACGGUACCCGAGGAAUCAGCCCCGGCUAACUACGUGCCAGCAGCCGCGGUAA